GAGUUUGAUCGUGGCUCAGGAUGAACGCUGGCGGCGUGCUUAACACAUGCAAGUCGAACGGGGAAUAUUCUGACAGAGACUUCGGUUGAAGUUGUUAUAUUCCUAGUGGCGGACGGGUGAGUAACGCGUGGGUAACCUGCCCCACACAGGGGGAUAACAACCAGAAAUGGCUGCUAAUACCGCAUAAGCGCACGGGGCCGCAUGGCCCAGUGUGAAAAACUCCGGUGGUGUGGGAUGGGCCCGCGUUGGAUUAGCCAGUUGGCAGGGUAACGGCCUACCAAAGCGACGAUCCAUAGCCGGCCUGAGAGGGUGGACGG
This 317-nucleotide ribosomal RNA is filed under the name uncultured bacterium. RNAcentral's name for it is "bacterial SSU rRNA". It matches the Rfam family "Bacterial small subunit ribosomal RNA", at positions 9 to 307 of the family's 1533-position model. The record is from RNAcentral.